GACGAACGCUGGCGGCGUGCUUAACACAUGCAAGUCGAACGGAAAGGCCCUGCUUUUGUGGGGUGCUCGAGCGGCGAACGGGUGAGUAACACGUGAGUAACCUGCCCUUGACUUUGGGAUAACUUCAGGAAACUGGGGCUAAUACCGGAUAGGAGCUCCUGCUGCAUGGUGGGGGUUGGAAAGUUUCGGCGGUUGGGGAUGGACUCGCGGCUUAUCAGCUUGUUGGUGGGGUAGUGGCUUACCAAGGCUUUGACGGGUAGCCGGCCUGAGAGGGUGACCGGCCACAUUGGGACUGAGAUAGGGCCCAGAAUCCUACGGGAGGCAGCAGUGGGGAAUAUUGCACAAUGGGCGGAAGCCUGAUGCAGCAACGCCGCGUGCGGGAUGACGGCCUUCGGGUUGUAAACCGCUUUCGCCUGUGACGAAGCGUGAGUGACGGUAAUGGGUAAAGAAGCACCGGCUAACUACGUG
Molecule: ribosomal RNA, 468 nt
Filed under: uncultured bacterium
Lineage: Bacteria
Description: partial 16S ribosomal RNA
Rfam family: Bacterial small subunit ribosomal RNA
Source: RNAcentral